CAGCUAGCUCAUCAGAAAAAGCAUUAAUCAGCUAGCUCAUCAGAAAAAGUAUUAAUCAGCUAGCCAAUCAUUGCCAGCAAUUAGCUAGCCAAANAGNACCAGUUUUAAUUAGCUAGCCAAUCAAAAAAAACAUUAAUCAGCUAGCUCAUCAGAAAAAGUAUUAAUCAGCUAGCCAAUCA
Long non-coding RNA from Poecilia latipinna (sailfin molly), 179 nucleotides. RefSeq lists it as uncharacterized. NCBI's taxonomy places the organism in Eukaryota, Metazoa, Chordata, Actinopteri, Cyprinodontiformes, Poeciliidae. The record is from RefSeq and is a predicted model, not a curated record. The transcript has 2 exons.